UACGGAGGGUGCGAGCGUUGUCCGGAAUCACUGGGCGUAAAGGGCGCGUAGGCGGCGCGGGCAGUCAACGGUGAAAGCUUGGGGCUCAACCCCGAGUCGGCCGUCGAUACUCCCGGGCUUGAGCACUGUAGAGGCAGGUGGAAUUCCGGGUGUAGCGGUGGAAUGCGUAGAGAUCCGGAAGAACACCGGUGGCGAAGGCGGCCUGCUGGGCAGUAGCUGACACUGAGGCGCGACAGCGUGGGGAGCAAACAGG
RNAcentral lists this ribosomal RNA (253 nucleotides) under uncultured bacterium. Its description in RNAcentral is "partial 16S ribosomal RNA". It matches the Rfam family "Bacterial small subunit ribosomal RNA", at positions 524 to 776 of the family's 1533-position model. The record is from RNAcentral.